AGGGCACCACCAGGAGUGGAGCCUGCGGCUUAAUUUGACUCAACACGGGAAAACUCACCCGGCCCGGACACUGGAAGGAUUGACAGAUUGAGAGCUCUUUCUUGAUUCAGUGGGUGGUGGUGCAUGGCCGUUCUUAGUUGGUGGAGUGAUUUGUCUGGUUAAUUCCGAUAACGAACGAGACUCUAGCCUACUAAAUAGAUCGUCGGCUUACAAACGCCGGCGAGACUUCUUAGAGGGACAGGCGGUGAUUCAACCGCACGAAACAGAGCAAUAACAGGUCCGUGAUGCCCUUAGAUGUCCGGGGCCGCACGCGCGCUACACUGAAGUGAUCAGCGUGCUUUUUCAACCUACUCUGUCAAGGGUGGGGAACCCAAUGAACCUUCUUCGUGAUUGGGAUAGGGGAUUGUAAUUAUUCCCCUUGAACGAGGAAUUCCCAGUAAGCGCGAGUCAUAAGCUCGCGUUGAUUACGUCCCUGCCCUUUGUACACACCGCCCGUCGCUACUACCGAUUGAAUGUUUU
RNAcentral lists this ribosomal RNA (519 nucleotides) under uncultured eukaryote. RNAcentral's name for it is "SSU rRNA". It matches the Rfam family "Eukaryotic small subunit ribosomal RNA", at positions 1161 to 1699 of the family's 1831-position model. The record is from RNAcentral.